AGUUUAAUUUAGUCGCUAAAAAAAAAAAAUAAAAUUUAUUUGGACACAGUUAAAUGACUUAUUUGACUCUAAAGUACAUUUUAGAGAUACUCAAAGGGCAAAGAAAGCCUUUUGCCUUAUUCAAAAUUUGAUAAUAACAUGCUUAAAUGUCUCUAUUAAAAUUUGUAAACCAUUUGCUCAGUAUAUCCGAGAUCUUUGAGUAUGCCAGUGAGCUCUCCCUGCGAGUAGUCUUUAGCCUUAUCACCAGAUAU
RNAcentral lists this unclassified non-coding RNA (251 nucleotides) under Hevea brasiliensis (rubber tree). Lineage: Eukaryota; Viridiplantae; Streptophyta; Magnoliopsida; Malpighiales; Euphorbiaceae. The record is from RNAcentral.